AGCCAGUGAGGUGAGGCCAGACCUCCUGAGGGGAGGGUCCCGUGUCCCCAGAGUCAGGGGUCGGGGUCAGGGGUUGAGGUCAGUGGGUCGGGUGGGUGCAUUGCGGUCAGCAUGUACUCAGGACUGCCUGUGACCCAGAAAAGGCUUUCUCAGGCCUAUUCCCACCCGCACCAGCCUGGAGAGAGCUCUGUCAGGCUGAGGUGGAAUUUUCCGGAGCCCCGGGGGCUGUGCAGGUGCGGGAGGGAGAGCCUGUCAGGCUGAGGUGGAAUUUUCCAGAGCCCUGGGAGGAGGAUUCCCAGCAUCAGGUGAGUGGUGACUUCUGACGCACUGUGGAAGCUACAGGCAGGGCUGAGUCGGCGGCAAGGAGCAGGACCUCCUGUUAGAAAGUCCCAGAAAGAAACAAACCCUCAGGGACCACCCAGAAGGCCAGGAUCAUCCGAGGGGCCGCCCCGUGGGGUCUCCAUGGCUGCACGUGCAUCCUGAGGCCCAAGUCCUCCUCACAGUGGCUUCACUGGGUGCUGGGACUCUGCAGGGACCGAGCUGUUGGUGCUCCAGCUUUCAGGGAGCUCCUGCCUUGGGGUGGACGGACAGCAGAUAACCAGAAGCAGCAGAGAAAACAUCUGAAGUGCUUCCUGGACACACCGGUUAGGAAGUUUCUGCGAGAACCCAGCUGCCUCCAGGGCUGCCCAGGUCAGGUGCUCAGAACACAAAAGAAAAUGAGACAAAGUCGCCACCCUGGAGUUUACGAGCUGGCGUGGGAGACAGGCUGGCACUGAGGAUGACAGUGGAGAGAGAUCGGGCUGGGAAGAACCAGAGGCGCUGGGGAAGCCGGGUCAGCAGGGAGACCCCAGCAGAGUGGGAGCCGGAGGACAGCGGCGACUGCAGCCCGACUGUUUCAGGUGGCGUCCUCGUCACAAGAGGAGCUUGAGCGGGUCGUGGCCUUCCUGGCAACCUGCCUACAGAGGAAACGAUUGCUGGGUGCAGAUGUCUCGAACAUUUAUUGCAUUCCACGUUGUCGGUCAAUAAAACAGCUUUGCGAGCGUAAUACUGAUAAAAUCAAGUUCAGGCGGUAAGCCCCAGGGCUUCCAAGAAAAGUGGAUCGGGGGGCUUGCUCAGCUCUGGUAUCCAGGGGGGGCCACUGCCUGGUUCCCAGGCAAAGGAGUACAAACUGCCAGGAGAAACAAGGACCCUGCAGGAAGAAGGGACCUGCCCGACUGGUUCCCCCGCACCCACAUCAGGAAUUUUCCCAGAAAGCCAUCCACUUUGUUAGAGACAAAAUAAAGGUCAUUUGGAGAAAAACCUGCCAGCAGCUGCUGCUGCUUGAAAAUAGAAAAGAUUUUAAAAGUAGCAGUGUUGGGAGGCCAAGGCAGGCAGAUCACCUGAGGUCAGGAGUUCGAGACCAGCCUGGCCAACAUGGCGAAACCCCGUCUCUACUAAAAACAGAAAAAUUAGCUGGGCAUGGUGGUGCGCACCUGUAAUCCCAGCUACUUGGGAGGCUGAGGCAGGAGAAUCACUUAAACCUGGGAGGCGAAGAUUGCAAUGAGCUGAGAUUGUGCCACUGCACUCCAGCCUGGGCAACAGAGCAGGACAUCGUCUCAAAAAAAAAAAAAAAAAAUGCAGCAGUGGUUUGAAAUCAUGCAUUUUUAUGUGUUAUCCUCAAACAUCUGAGGGAGAUAAGAAAGAAUAUACCACGGAUGAGAAUAUUUAUAAUUAUCAGAAAAAAAACUGCCUCGUAGGAACAAUCCUGUGAGCUCCAUCAUCAAAUCUGAUUCAGCAGCCUCCAAAUCCCCUACUUGCCCUGGCAGUCACUACCCACCUCACAGCUGUCCUUUGCAGAUUACUACAAAUGUUCUCUUAAAUAUUCAUUUAUCCCCCAGCAUUGACAGGUGAGGAAUGAUGUUGCUUGGGCUAUUUCUGCCCCAAGUGGCCCCUGUAAAGCCGGGACCUUGGAUCCUCCCUCUCAUAUGAGCCUCCUAAGGGGGCUCCCAGCUCCUGGAUGGGGUCUUCUCAGGGCCUAGGGCCCCCUCAUCUGCCCAGAACAAACUUCCUCAUCCAGAUGUCACCAUUCAUUUCCCCAAGUCCUCCUUCCCACCAGACAUGAGGAUUUUAACUUGAUCAUCUCUGCAAAGACCUUAUCUUCAAAUACAGUUACAUUCUGAAGUCCUGGGGGUUAGGGCUGCAACACCCGAAUUGGAGGAGACAUAAUCCAGCUCCUGACAAUACCGCGUAUGAUAGCUGCGUCUCUGCCUGCAGUACUGUUUUCCAGUGAAAGCAUCUUUGAGUGUAUUCAGAAAGCCUCUCUCUGGGGCCAGGCCUUGCAGAGAAUCCUUCAGAAACUGGACAACCCCACCCAAGGCAGUCAGUGGGGAGGACACAUUUGGUGCCUCAUUCGUCCCUGGAUCUGCCUCACAGUCCUCAAUGUUCUUCCUCGUUCCCUCUACUCUUUCUCCUCUUUGGUUGACCUUGAAGCUCAUUCCUGGUGAAGGCCCCGUGGGAGCAGUGCAAUGACAAGAGGAGCCUGUUUUCAUCAGCACCCUCACGCUCUCCAGGGGUCCAUUGGAGGUGCCUAUGACCUCCUGAUGCUGAGGAGCCUAGAGUGGGCAGCCCUCGGGCCCAGGCUCCACCUGGGUGAGGCCUGUUUUAUUAUCAAUACUCACCACAGUCAUUUGUGGGAGUGUAAUGCUCAUAUUCCCAUUUAAGAGAUGAAUAAACUGAGGCAAGGUGAAGUGACUCAGCUGAGGCCACACCACAAUUUAAUGGGGAAGCCAGGAUAAGAGCUGGCGGCGUCUAUGUCUAUGAUCUACACUCUGAUGGGAGGUCGUCAGAGAGCCAUGUAAACGGUGAGGAGGUGACAUGCUGGUCCCUUCCAUAAAAGCUGUUUUGCAAAAUUAAAACACACACACAGUAAAGAUCCAGAUUUAUGCAAGUGAGAGUGAGGGGCUAUUUACCAGUCAACAGAUCUCCCCAAAUGGUUCUCUGCUUGGGGUUGAGAUGCUCCUGACCAGCAGGGCUUGGGGAGAGACAUUCUUGCUCCCCCUAGAGCUGGCUGACCUAUACCCAGGGGAUUCUGAGCACCAGGGGCUGGGAGCAGCAUGUACCACGUGUUUCCCAAGAGUUAGUCAUGUUUACUCCUAAAACUUAUUGUAAUCGAGGAAUCUAAUUAAACAAUACAGCAA
Pan troglodytes (chimpanzee) is the source of this 3176-nucleotide long non-coding RNA. RefSeq lists it as uncharacterized. The transcript is spliced from 3 exons. The record is from RefSeq and is a predicted model, not a curated record. NCBI's taxonomy places the organism in Eukaryota, Metazoa, Chordata, Mammalia, Primates, Hominidae.